This is a non-coding RNA of Vicugna pacos (alpaca), 223 nucleotides long. Lineage: Eukaryota; Metazoa; Chordata; Mammalia; Artiodactyla; Camelidae. The record is from RefSeq and is a predicted model, not a curated record.
CUUUGACCAAGCAAACUGAAGCCAACAGAAGAGAAAUUUCACCUGCAACUCCCAGCACAUCCGCUUGCCUUCUGAUGUCUGUGACUUCACCCUCGCUGCCCCACCUCUUAUUACAGAUUGAACAGGAUCCAGGGGGAAUUACCAAGCCUGUCCCAUCGGACAUCCUGUGUGUCAUGUUCUGUGACCCAGUGGAUGCUCAGCAUCCUCCAGCUGAAGAAACAGA